Molecule: ribosomal RNA, 663 nt
Filed under: Triticum aestivum (bread wheat)
Lineage: Eukaryota; Viridiplantae; Streptophyta; Magnoliopsida; Poales; Poaceae
Description: partial small subunit ribosomal RNA
Source: RNAcentral
AUGCAAUCGCUUGGAAUCCUCAAGUCUUUGGUAUUAGCUUAUAACUCAAGAUUGAAAUCUCUACAGCUGCAUUCCUGCACGUCGCUGGAACGUUGGGAAAUUGAUGAUUGUAGUUCGCUUGUCACAAUAGAGGGCUUGCGAUCCCUCGUGAACCUCAAGAAUUUGAAAAUAGUCGAUUCCCCUGCCUUGGGUUCCCUUAUCUCAUUUGACAGUUAUGAGCCAACUGAGAGAUUUCCAAGUCAUAGCUAUGAGUUAUUCCCUGCACUUGAAAGUCUCGAGAUCGAUGCCUUGUCUCCCCUUAACAUGUCAUUCUGCAAGGACCUCACCUGCCUCCGAAGCCUAAAGCUUUUUUACAUGAAGGAUGCAACGAGACUAACAGAUGAGCAAGAGAGAGCGCUUCUGCUCCUCAGGUCCCUGCAAGAGCUCUGCUUUCAGGCUUGUAGGCAUCUCGUACAUCUUCCCACGGGGCUGCGGAGCCUCCCUUCCCUCAAGACGUUGAAGAUCAUAGAUUGUGAUGGCAUCUCAGGGCUUCCGAAGGAGGGCCUACCACCUGCGCUGGAAGAACUGAAAAUCUUCUAUUGCAGUGCCGAGUUAUCAAAACAAUGCAGAUUGCUAGCAACAAGCAAGCUAGAGGUCAAAAUUGAUGAGGACUAUGUGGACUGA